UACAGAGGGUGCGAGCGUUGUCCGGAAUCACUGGGCGUAAAGGGCGCGUAGGUGGCGGCCCAAGUCCGUGGUGAAAGCUCGCCGCUUAACGGCGAGUCGGCCACGGAGACUGGGUGGCUCGAGCACUGUAGGGGCUAAUGGAAUUCCGGGUGUAGCGGUGGAAUGCGUAGAGAUCCGGAAGAACACCAGUGGCGAAGGCGGUUAGCUGGGCAGUUGCUGACACUGAUGCGCGACAGCGUGGGGAGCAAACAGGAUUAGAACCCUAGUAGUCC
This 272-nucleotide ribosomal RNA is filed under the name uncultured prokaryote. RNAcentral's name for it is "partial 16S ribosomal RNA". It matches the Rfam family "Bacterial small subunit ribosomal RNA", at positions 524 to 796 of the family's 1533-position model. The record is from RNAcentral.